Long non-coding RNA from Alosa sapidissima (American shad), 119 nucleotides. RefSeq lists it as uncharacterized. The transcript is spliced from 3 exons. The record is from RefSeq and is a predicted model, not a curated record. NCBI's taxonomy places the organism in Eukaryota, Metazoa, Chordata, Actinopteri, Clupeiformes, Clupeidae.
AUUCACCAUGUAUUCUUCUUCUCGUAUCAAAUCACGUACAGAUGAUAAUGCAUUGGUAUAUUGGGUGCAAAAGUGGCGAGCACAUUUAACUGCAGAUUUUGCAUGUGCACACUAAAGUC